AGUCCAAUAAAGGUUCAACAAUAGCUGAGACAGGACCCACCCAAGGAGUUUACUCCUCAGGGAAUCAAACUAGCUGCUCAGUCGUCAUCAGAUCAAACCAGACUUACUCACAGGCCUACAGAGCUACACAACAAUAUUCUAUGAAUAGCACUUUGCUUACUUAUGCCUACAACAAAAGUGUAUGCUUGCUGCACACAUGCAUAUCUGACUAUGAUUACCACCGUUUGUCUUCAUGAGGAUUUACUGCUCACCUUGGAUGUAUGGCUGGCUUGUCACUUUAGUUUCAGAAUGGCUGUGACUUUAGACGACGAACAGCUUUUUUUAACAAGUAAAACUGAGGUACAACAAGCAAGUGCAGCAUUUCUCUGGUGAGACACAUAUGAUGUGAACUCGUGUACCCCAAGUACUUGCAAGGUGACUUCCUGGUGAUUAACUUCUGUAUUAUUGGUGUUCAAAGUUUUAUUUACAUUUGAAGGUGUCAUACACUAUGACCUCAUAUGACAGCAUUAGUGAUAGUCCCGGCGAUCAUAAGCAUGUGCUAGGAUGUGAGCUUGUUGCUAAGUUGUGCUGAUGAUGUUAUCUGCUGGAUGCAGGGGAACCUCUUGAUAUUGACCCGACAGUGCUCUGGGACUAGACCUUGAAUGAGAGGUUCUACCAUAUGCUGUGAAAGUACGAUGAAGCCUGGUUUUCAUCUUUGGGGAAUCGACAUGAAUGGCUGCAUUUGAUUUCUGGCUUACUUGUCUACCAUGCAUGUGGACACUCCCUUGUCGACAUCCAGCUGCAUCUCCAG
Long non-coding RNA from Protopterus annectens (West African lungfish), 790 nucleotides. RefSeq lists it as uncharacterized. The transcript has 3 exons. The record is from RefSeq and is a predicted model, not a curated record. Lineage: Eukaryota; Metazoa; Chordata; Ceratodontiformes; Protopteridae.